CUUCUCAGAAGUGACUUCCGUCCAGCUCGGCAUGGCGGCAGUCACUGCCGUCACUUAGUCGCCGAUCAAGGCUUGGACUAAGGGCCCACGGUCACUCGAGUAGGACUUGGAUCGGAUGCUGAAUAAAACUCACCGUGAAGCAAGUCCCACUGAACGAAAAGUUGGUCGUAGCAUUUCUCAGGUGGGAUAGGAGCAUGCCAGGUGCUGCGAGGGUUUAAUCGGGCUCUUCUGCUGGCCUUGAAUAUGGUGGACAGGACAGGACAUUCUCAUUGCUCAGGAGCCACUGGCGCUGCCUUUGGGAAUGAAGUUCCACAGCCCCCCACUCAUUGCUUUGGCUGUCUGCUGCAUUUGAAACUGUACGAGGGUCAGGAAGAAGGCUGCGGGGAUGAAUGGCUCUACCGGCUUGCCACGGAUGGGGAACUGGAGCAGCCAGUGGCCCCAAGAGGAGGAAGGAAGGGAGGCACGGCAGACCCAACACCAGCUGUGCCAGGCUUUGGGGGGUGAACCCAUGAGGCAUCGUCACACACUGACAUUUUCAUCCCUCCUCAGCAGCUGCUUCCGGCUCCCUGAGACCCAGCCAUGGAAGGCAUAGAAAGGCAUGUGACAAGAAACUCAUGGCUUUUAAUCCUGGCAGGACAAGGAAAACCCCGUCAAAGAUUUGCAUAAAUUUUGCUGCUCUCCUGCUGGGGGGGGGGGGGGGGCAGUUCGUCACAUUUAAUAAAAUUCUCUCCCUCCCUUCUCCCGA
Homo sapiens (human) is the source of this 745-nucleotide long non-coding RNA. Ensembl annotates it as MPDU1 antisense RNA 1. Its record names the gene MPDU1-AS1. Lineage: Eukaryota; Metazoa; Chordata; Mammalia; Primates; Hominidae. The record is from Ensembl.